Molecule: non-coding RNA, 219 nt
Organism: Vicia faba (fava bean)
Lineage: Eukaryota; Viridiplantae; Streptophyta; Magnoliopsida; Fabales; Fabaceae
Source: the annotation of a GenBank genome assembly
AUGAUGGCUAUGCACAUGCAAAUGUUAGACCAGCAUCUUCAUUGCCCUACAUUUGGGACUCAUCGGAUCCUAAACCAAACCACACCUACUAUUUCAAAUUCAAACACUAGCAAUCAACACAAGACUAGGCUUGGUGGGAAGGCUGAAACUUCAAAAAGCUGGCUGCUGAAGGAAUUGUUUGUAGGACAGAAGCUUGAAGAAUGGGAAACAGAAGAUUAA